RNAcentral lists this microRNA (23 nucleotides) under Lottia gigantea (owl limpet). Its description in RNAcentral is "Lgi-Novel-3-P1_3p (mature (guide))". Lineage: Eukaryota; Metazoa; Mollusca; Gastropoda; Lottiidae. The record is from RNAcentral.
UCCACUCAUGUGCACUUCCAGGU